Physeter macrocephalus (sperm whale) is the source of this 271-nucleotide long non-coding RNA. RefSeq lists it as uncharacterized. The transcript has 3 exons. The record is from RefSeq and is a predicted model, not a curated record. Lineage: Eukaryota; Metazoa; Chordata; Mammalia; Artiodactyla; Physeteridae.
CAGCCUACGGUCGACCCGGGAGCUGAGGGGAGUUUGGGGAGAGGAACGCCUACCCUGGCGUCGAGGAUGUCUCCGGGCAAACGCAGCGGGCCUGCGGCAGCAGUUUCUUAAAGGUAUCCAUGGGCUAACAAGACAGAGACAUAUUCCAGGGCCAAUAUCUAGAAGAGAAGGAGAAAAUCCAGAAAGCAUGCAGGAUCCUAGUUCCCCAACCAGGGAUCGAACCCACGCCCCCUGCAGUGGAAGCACGGAGUCUUAACCACUGGACCACCAG